AAUAUGAUCCGAUCAAAUACCCCCACACUUAACUUUUGCUAGUCCUCGAGCAAAACAAAGAAAACAAGAACACGAAGUAACAAGAAAAACAUUAGCUUCCCCCUUUGUGACCCUCAUAGAAUUUCUUUUAAGAAAACAAAUCAUCAAGAACCAUAGCUAGCACCAAACAAGUUAAUCCAAGUUCAUCUUCCUUAUUCAAAUAUUAGCAGUAAUCUUUGAAUCAUCCUUGAAGGGUAGUGUGUGAGAUAGCCAUGCUAAUGCAAUUUCAAGUUUUUAUUUUUAAAAUCAUCAUAUGCAAACUAGUAACCUUCUCACGGGAUAUGCACUCAAUCACACAUGUGUUUAGUUUUAAUGUGUUUCGCUCAAAGAAUCAAAUGU
This 378-nucleotide long non-coding RNA is filed under the name Malus domestica (apple). RNAcentral describes it as "long non-coding RNA (MDOM_LNC019950)". Lineage: Eukaryota; Viridiplantae; Streptophyta; Magnoliopsida; Rosales; Rosaceae. The record is from RNAcentral.